Molecule: long non-coding RNA, 5707 nt
Organism: Glycine soja
Lineage: Eukaryota; Viridiplantae; Streptophyta; Magnoliopsida; Fabales; Fabaceae
Exons: 3
Source: RefSeq, a predicted model, not a curated record
GUUUUCAUUUUAAUGAUCUGUGACUAGUAUUUUUAUUUCCAUUUUCUUGCAAUCAUUAAAGUGUGAGGAAUCAUACUUGUUUUUUUUUUCCUGUUGUUUUCUUUAAAAUUUGAACUUGGGCUGGUUGAGGUUCCAUCCCAUGUGUAUAUGUACUGUCUGUGCCUCCAGAACUUCUUCAUUUGUCUCAUCUCUUUUAAUUGAGUGUCCUUCUUGAAUUGUUUUCAGUUAUGGAUCAAAUUCGAUAAAAUUUGCAUGUGCCAUUAUACUGCUGCUAGUGACAUGAGCUGAACAAUUUAGCUCGUGUUUAUUCUACUAGAAUGACAUAAGUUGUAAAAGAGUUCUAACAGAUCAUAGAAGUGAGAUAUUUUGAGAGAAAAGUUUAGAAUGAAGAAGUGAAAAAUGAGUAUUAGCCUCUGAACUGAGUUACAACUCAGUAUUUAUAGAUCUGAGUGAUUAGUUAUGACCAACUAAUUCACCAACUAACUUACUAACACUCAUAACAGAAAACUAACUCCUAACUAACUGGCUUAAUUGAGAGUGUAGUUGAACACUGCAACUCUUUGUACAAUACUCUAAUACCCCCCUUCAAGGUGGAUGAGACUUUGAAGGAGUCUCAAGCACAUUGAGUUUGGUCCUUAGAAAUAAAAAUCUGGUUGGAGAGAGGGGCUUGGUGAGAGCAUCUGCCCACUGAUCAAGAGCCAGAAUAUGAUGAACAACCAGCUGCUUGGACAAGACUUUUUCUCUAACAAAGAAGAUGUCAAUGUCCAUGUGCUUGGUCCGAGCAUGAAGAACAGGAUUAUUGGCUAUAGCAACUGCUCUCUGAUUAUGACAGAAGAUAAUGGGAGUGAUGAAAGGAACUUGUGGCUCAGUUAAAAGGGUCUGAAUCCAAGAUAAUUCAGCAGUAGUUUGAGCCAAACUUUGAUAUUCUGCCUCUGUACUGGACCUUGCAACAACUUGCUUCUUUUGGGACCACCAAGAAAUGAGAUUAGGACCAAAGUAGAUGGCUGAACCAGACGUGGAUCUUCUGUCUUCACUAUCAGAAGCCCAAUCAGCAUCACAGAGAGCACGAAGAGGAUAAGGUUUCCCCAGAGCAGCAGGUCUAAGGUGUAAUCCAUGCAACAUUGUACCUUUCAAGUAUCUUAGGAUUCUUUUUACUGCAGUCCAAGGAGGGUCUAAAGGAUUGGCCAUAAACUGACAAACUCUUUUAACUGAGUAGCUGAUCUCAGGUCUAGUAAUAGUUGAGUACUGUAGGGCACCCUCUACAGAUCUAUAUAGAGUAGGAUCAGAAAAGAGGUCUGAACCUGUUUUAGUAAGUUUGCAGCUGGAAGCAAUAGGGGAGGAAAUAGGUUGAGCUUCUGACAUAGAAGUUUUCUGCAACAAAUCUCUGAUGUAUUUCCUUUGAGUGAGAAGUAAUGAUCUGUCACGAAGAGUCUUAACCUCAAUCCCCAAAAAAUAGUCUAGCAGACCAAGUUGUUUGAGAGAAAACUUUGAAUUAAGUUGUGAAGUCAGAUGGUGAACCAAGUUAGUGGGACUGCCAGUUAUUAUAAUAUCAUCCACAUAAACCAAAAGAUACAGUGCGAGAGGAAGUCUUGUAAACAAAUAGAGAUGGAUCACAUUUACUAGCAACAAAUCCAAACUGAAUAAAAGCAGACUGCAGGCUCUCAAACCACGGUCUUGGGGCUUGCUUGAGCCCAUACAAGGCUUUAUUUAGUUUGCAGAUCAGAGAAGGAUUGGAUUGUUGGAAACCAGGAGGUUGAGUCAUAUAGACAGUCUCAUUAAGCAAGCCAUUAAGAAAGCCAUUGUUGACAUCUAUUAGAGUGUACAUAUGUACAACUGUUAAAACAGUUUAGUAAGAGCUGUUAGCUUUUGCUAACAGCACCUCCGUCUUAGCUAUUAACAGCUGCACUCUCUAAGUUCAGAGUCCUAUAAAUAUCUCUUUGUAACUAACUCUGUGACUAACUUUUGUGAUACUCAAUAAUAUGAGAUUCUCUCUUUCUGUUACACAAAAUUUCUCUCAAUUUAUCUUAGAACAUCUAGCUGAGUCAGCAUCCAUUAAUUUGUGAUUGCUAUAGUUAAAGUAAGCCUAAUAGUGACAGGUUUCACAACUGGAGAAAAGGUUUCUGAAAAAUCAAAACCUUGUACUUGAUUAUAACCUUUGGCAACCAGUCUUGCUUUAAAUAUGUUAAUAGAGCCAUCUGCAUUUUCCUUGACCCUAAAAACCCAUUACAACCAAUAGCAUUCCUGUUUGAUGGAAGAGGUACUAGAUCUCAAGUGUGAUUCUUUAUUAAAGUUUCAUAUUCCAAUUGCAUGGUUGAAUGCCAAUUCUCCAAAGAGUGGAUUUGCAAACCUUGACCAUUGUCUAUGAAUAUCUGAUUAGGACCUUCAAAAGGCUCUAGUUGCUGAAUGUUUUGAGAUUCACCAGUAACAUAGAAUGAAGCACCAGAAUCUAGAAUCCAAUUGGUAGAAUUGGAUUGAGGUUGAGUGUUUGUGAAUAGCACUAUGAUUGGACUGAGGAUUGUUACUGACAGAUUUGUAAUUGGUAUUAGUCCAAACAUUAGCAGGUCUAGUAUCACCAGAGUUUUGGCCAGAACUGUUACUAUUUUGUGAAUAACUGGUGUAGUUAUUUGAAGUUUGAGUGGAAGUGGUCUGAGAAUAACUUGGACUGAGAGGAUCAUGAAGAACAAAGGACAGGUUUGGUUGAUAAUACUGAUCAUAGCGGUAAUUGCAAACAGAAGCAGUGUGACCAAAUUUGAAACACACCUGACUCUGGAAGUUGGCAAAAUGACCACUGCUGCGGCCGUGACCAGCACCACCACCACGGCAGUGAGAACUACCACUACCACGGCCAGAUCCACCACAAAAAGCGGGAAAACUCUUCGGAUUUGUCUUGUUUGGCAGAGAAAAACCAUCGGAGCUGAUCGCAGAAGACAUAUGAUGUGCUUGUGAAUAAUUGAUGAAAGGUGAAUCAGACUGAAACUGUUUGCUGAAUUUGUUGAGACGCGCUUUGUGAGCAAGAAGAGCUUCAACUUGCUCUAUCGGAAGCGGUUCAAACUUGUUCCAGUUCAACAUGGAAUAUUACUUCCUAUUUCAGCCUCAAUCCUGAUCUAUCUCCUCUUGUUUCAGCCUCUACACCUUCACUUUCCCCAAUACCUUCCUCCAAUUCCACUUCCAGUCAUUCUCAAUCAUCCAAUAUAAUGUCGUCUAGUGAAUCUAUACCCACUGCACCCUCUCCCACUCAUCCUCAAUCAUCAAAUACUAUGUCUCAUAAUGAAUCUGUGUCUGCAUCAACUCCCAUUCCCAUCAACACUCACCCUAUGCAAACUAGGUCUAAAUCUGGAAUACACAAUCCUAGGCUGCAUCCUUCAUUAUUUCUUACUCAUUCUGAACCUAAAAGUGUAAAGCAGGCCUUGGAAAGUUCAGAGUGGUUUGCAACUAUGCAGGAGGAGUAUAAUGCUCUAAUGAGAAACAAAACUUGGGAUUAGUUCCAUUACCAGCUGGUAGACAAGCUAUUGGAUGCAAGUGGGUCUUUAGAAUAAAAGAAAAUGCUGACGGUUCAAUCAAUAGGUACAAAGCUAGACUAGUUGCUAAGGGAUUUCAUCAAGUUCAUGGCUUUGACUUUCAUGAAAUAUUUUAUCCUGUUGUAAAACCAGUUACAAUUAGAGUAUUUCUAACUCUUGCUCUCUCACAAGGCUGGGACUUAUUUCAGCUUGAUGUCAACAAUGCCUUUCUAAAUGGAUUACUUGAGGAGACUGUCUAUAUGACUCAACCUGCAGGUUUUGAAGUUGAAGAAAAAUCCUUGGUUUGUAAACUUAACAAGGCUCUCUAUGGAUUAAAGCAAGCUCCAAGGCAGUGGCUUGACAGUAAUACAGAUUGGGUUUGUAGGAAGCAAGUGUGAUCCCUCUUUGUUCAUUUAUACACAUCAACAACACACUGUCUACAUUCUAGUUUAUGUAGAUGAUAUCAUCAUCACAGGAAGUUCUAAUUCUCUCAUUCAACAGUUAACCUCGAGAUUGAAUAUAGUCUUCUCUCUCAAACAGCUAGGUCACUUGGACUAUUUCUUGGGACUGGAGAUUAAGUAUCCCCCUAACAGGUCUAUUUUGAUGUCUCAAAGCAAGUAUGUCAGAGAUCUACUUCAUAAAACUCAAAUGGCUGAGGCACACUCUAUCUCUACUCCUAUGGUUACAAACUGCAAACUGUCCAAACAUGGAGCUGAUCUAUUUCAUGAUCCAACUCUCUAUAGGUCAGUAGUGGGUGCCCUACAGUAUGCCACCCUUACUAGACCUGAGAUUAGUUAUGCUGUUAAUAAGGUUUGUCAGUAUAUGGCUAAUCCAUUGGAUUCUCAUUGGGCUGUGGUCAAAAGGAUAUUAAGAUAUCUCAAGGGUACUAUAUUUCAUGGUUUAUUCCUUCAACCUACUUUUGUUUCAAAACCUAUGGCUCUCUAUGCUUUCUGUGAUGCUGAUUGGGCAUCAGAUAUUGAUGACAGACAUUCCACGUCAGGAGCAGCUAUCUUUCUUGGCUCAAACUUGAUAUCCUGGUGGUCCAGGAAGCAAAAAGUCACGGCAAGGUCCAGCACUGAAGCUGAAAAUCGAAGCUUGGCUCAAACAUCUACUGAAUUAACCUGGAUUCGAACUCUUCUAACAGAAUUACAUGUUUCUUUUCAAACUCCUGUGAUUUACUGUGAUAAUCAAAGUGCAGUGUCCAUAGCUCACAAUCCAGUGUUCCAUAGUAGAACAAAACAUAUGGAAAUUGGUGUCUUUUUUGUAAGAGAACAAGUUUUGGCCAAACAACUCUCAGUUGUGCAUCUUCCUGCCUUAGAUCAAUGGGCAGCUGUCUUAACCAAGCCACUUUCCUCAAUAAGAUUUGAAGCACUAAGGGACAAACUCGAUGUGAAGCAUUUUUCUGUAGAAAAACCUUCCCCUUGAGUUUGUGGGGGGUAUUAGAAUGAAUGUAUAAAAAUAACUGAUUACAAACAGUUAUUGCAGGACAGUUAGACAGCUAACUACUUUUCUUUCACUAACAGAAUUCUGUUAAUUAGUUGUUAGUUAGUUUGUGAUUAGUUUCAAGGGCUAGAGGUUUAUAAAUACCUCCUUUGUAACUGCAUUAAAUGUUAACUUUUUCAGAAUCAAUAAUAUCAGUUUUUCUUUUUUUUCUGUUCUCUCUGUUCUCUAAUUCUGAUACAACUCAGUAUUUAUAGAUCUGAGUGAUUAGUUAUGACUAACUAACUCACCAACUAACUUACUAACUGACUCAUAAUAGAAAACGAACUCCUAACUAACUGACUUGAUUGAGAGUGCAGUUGAAUACUGCAAGUCUCUGUACAAUACUCUAAUAAGCUGAAUAAUUUACGUCGUGUUUGUUCUACUUGAAUUAUGAUAUGUACUAAAUGCUUGUGCAAGUUAGCAAAUUAAUUUUAAACUUAAGGUAUCAAAGAGAGAAUGGUAUUAACGUGUUAGGUAUAUAAUUCAGGAUCUGAAAAAACGAAGAUAGAGUGAGGUGUAGUUAUCUUACUUUUUUUCAGUUACAUAUAUAACCUUGCAUCCGUUGUUACUUUAUUUAACAUUUAAAAUAACUUUUAGAAUCUUGGGGGCAAAUGAUAGUGAGCCAAAGUUUAGUUUCUUCAUGUACCUUUCUGUAUGAUUUUGGUUGUAACUGCAAUUCUACACAUAAAUGAUUAUUAUUUCUCAUUAUCAUUUUUUUUCUUCUGAAU